RNAcentral lists this ribosomal RNA (301 nucleotides) under uncultured bacterium. RNAcentral describes it as "partial 16S ribosomal RNA". It matches the Rfam family "Bacterial small subunit ribosomal RNA", at positions 509 to 807 of the family's 1533-position model. The record is from RNAcentral.
CAGUCGCCGCGGUAAAACGAAGGGUGCAAGCGUUAAUCGGAAUUACUGGGCGUAAAGCGUGCGUAGGCGGUUUGUUAAGUCUGCUGUGAAAUCCCCGGGCUCAACCUGGGAAUGGCAGUGGAUACUGGCAAGCUAGAGUGUGUCAGAGGAUGGUGGAAUUCCCGGUGUAGCGGUGAAAUGCGUAGAGAUCGGGAGGAACAUCAGUGGCGAAGGCGGCUCACUGGACCAUAACUGACGCUGAGGCACGAAAGCUAGGGGAGCAAACAGGAUUAGAUACCCCGGUAGUCCCUGUCUCUUAUAC